GACGAACGCUGGCGGCGUGCCUAACACAUGCAAGUCAACUUGACGGAAGGAGCAAUCUGACCGUAGAGUGGCGCAAGGGUGCGUAACGCGUAAGUAACUUGCCCCAAGGUAAGGAAUAACGUCGAGAAAUCGGCGCUAAUACCUCAUAAUGCAGCGGAUCCGCAUGGAUAUGUUGUUAAAGGUUUACCGCCUUGGGAUAGGCUUGCGUCUGAUUAGCUAGUUGGUGUGGUAACGGCACACCAAGGCUACGAUCAGUAACUGGUCUGAGAGGAUGAUCAGUCACACUGGAACUGAGACACGGUCCAGACUCCUACGGGAGGCAGCAGUGAGGAAUAUUGGGCAAUGCUCGAAAGAGUGACCCAGCAACGCCGCGUGGAGGAUGAAGGUAUUCUAUAUCGUAAACUCCUGUGAGAGCAGACGAAAGACAGAUUAUAAUCUGGAUGACUGUAUGCUCAGAGGAAGCCCCGGCUAACUACGUGCCAG
RNAcentral lists this ribosomal RNA (483 nucleotides) under uncultured bacterium. RNAcentral describes it as "bacterial SSU rRNA". It matches the Rfam family "Bacterial small subunit ribosomal RNA", at positions 28 to 511 of the family's 1533-position model. The record is from RNAcentral.